GGCAAUUGGAGCAUGGCAACAGUGUCGAGAGAGUCGUGCCAAACUUCAAGGUUAUGCUCGUCUUGAGUAACUGAAGGGGUCACGCCACACCGUUCCUCACUUUUCUUCUUGAAAGCAACAAAGCUGAUAAGAAAUUGUGCCUGUUCCUGUUCCAGUAAAGUUUUCCAGUCGCAUUACAGCCAUACCACAACGUCCAGGGCAGCACCAGUUGUACUCCUUUUUUCCCUGGGUGCCUGUGGGCCAUAUGGUGUUCUGCUCUGAGCAGGAAGGAGGCACCGUGCGGCAGUGCUUUCUGCCCUUCGUUUAUGGGAACGGAGCCUGGAUUCAAGCAGAAGAUGUAGGCAGCUACAUCCGUGUCUGUGAUCAUCCCAAGUGUUGCCAGUGUACUGAGGAAGCUGGAGAUACCUACAAUGGUGUAUCUC
Molecule: long non-coding RNA, 422 nt
Organism: Chroicocephalus ridibundus (black-headed gull)
Lineage: Eukaryota; Metazoa; Chordata; Aves; Charadriiformes; Laridae
Exons: 3
Source: RefSeq, a predicted model, not a curated record